CCUUAAAGAAGCGUUCUUUGAAGUGCUCACACAGAUUGUCUGAUAGAAAGUGAAAAGCAAGGCGUCUUGCGAAGCAGACUGAUACGUCCCCUUCGUCUAGAGGCCCAGGACACCGCCCUUUCACGGCGGUAACAGGGGUUCGAAUCCCCUAGGGGACGCCACUUGCUGGUUUGUGAGUGAAAGUCACCUGCCUUAAUAUCUCAAAACUCAUCUUCGGGUGAUGUUUGAGGUAUUUGCUCUUUAAAAAUCUGGAUCAAGCUGAAAAUUGAAACACUGAACAACGAAAGUUGUUCGUGAGUCUCUCAAAUUUUCGCAACACGAUGGUGAAUCGUAAGAAACAUCUUCGGGUUGUG
RNAcentral lists this unclassified non-coding RNA (353 nucleotides) under Escherichia coli. The stretch from base 239 to 347 matches the Rfam family "Salmonella enterica Typhi npcRNA 44". Lineage: Bacteria; Pseudomonadati; Pseudomonadota; Gammaproteobacteria; Enterobacterales; Enterobacteriaceae. The record is from RNAcentral.